GCUAACAAAAAGCUCAAUCUCCUUCUCUUCCGACAGAGAAAUUGCUUUCCCAUGGCGACGAGAGCAGAGCCUGGCGAUUCCUGACGACGUUUACUGCCGAACAUUCUCGCUAACUCCUAGGGUUCCGAAAGAAUCCUCUUCAUCCUGUUGCUCUUUCUGCUGCCUUGUGUCAGAUUCCGGUGGCAUUCUCCAGCAGAAAGGGAGCAGGAAACGGGCGGGAAAUGUCAUGCAUUUGAUCUUCAUAUCUUAGAUGAGAAGUCUAGAAGCUUCUUACUGAGGAUUUUUUCAACGUCUUCUGCUUUUUGGAACUUCAAAUCUGGUGGUUUUUCUUGCUUUGAGGUUACCUUGUGGAGCAAUUUUUAGGGUUUUGUAGCUGCAUUGCUCGGUUUUCGCCUGUUUCCGCGAGAAAUCUCAUUUUGAAGGCAAAUGCGAGAGGUUUUGUCCUGUUUUUACUCAGAAGAAAAUGAGUAGUAGGAAGGAAGAGGAGCGGAACGAGAAGAUCACCAAAGGUUUGAUGAAACUUCCUCCGAACCAAAAAUGCAUCAACAGCUGGAACAAGAAGAUCAACAGCCGCAUGCACUCCACUUUGGAGGAACGAGCCGCCUUGUAAGCUGUUGUUGUGCAAUGCAUGUGGAUCAAGAUGGCGGACCAAGGGCACACUUGAGAACUACGUUCCACUGCAUUCCCUAAGAUUUGCACCCAUUGAUUCCGAAGAUAGCAGGAACUCUCAAGAGCCUAAAUUUUCGCCUAAGAGAAAGUCAAAAACCUUGCACAAAGUAAAUCGGAGUGAAGGCGAGAGAGAGGUUGGAGAGAUGAUACCAGAACAAUGCCUGCAGAAAGCAGUUUUCAAAGAUGAUACGAGCAAUAGAUCCUGUUCAGGAUCUGUAAUAUCAUUCUCCGAGAGCUGUGUUCAUCUGGGAAGCAUGGAUGGAAACGACAUCUCAGGUUAACCCCGAUGGUUUUACUUAGCAAAAUUAACAUGACAAGAUUUGGUUAGUGUUUGGCUUUUUUUUUUUUGCCCCCUGCUUUAUUUGCUUUGUUGAUUCAAGUAAUAGUUGCGUCGAGGCAGUAAAUUGCAUUGGAAGGCAAUGACUAUAGAUUCUGACUCCACAAUGCCUUGGGGUAUUUUAGGCUGUGUUUGAAUGCUCAAUUCAAUCAAACUUCUAAUUACGGGUGUGCGCCAUAUAUUUUCUUUCUUUCUUUCUUUAUUUUUUCUUUAUUUAUUGUUCUUCUUCAUUGUAAAUAGGUCUGAUACAAAAGUCCUAGCUUUGUUCCUUUUGAAAAAUCUUGUGCACCGGCAAGCCGGACCACAUCUUGUUAAUGGGUGGGAUUUGAAUUUGCAAAAUAAUGCUUAUUUCA
Molecule: long non-coding RNA, 1359 nt
Organism: Magnolia sinica
Lineage: Eukaryota; Viridiplantae; Streptophyta; Magnoliopsida; Magnoliales; Magnoliaceae
Exons: 3
Source: RefSeq, a predicted model, not a curated record